GAGCCCGUAGCUCAGUUGGUAGAGCGUUGCGUUUACAUCGCAAAUGUCGGGGGUUCAAAUCCCUCCGGGCUCACUA
Molecule: transfer RNA, 76 nt
Filed under: Patescibacteria group bacterium
Lineage: Bacteria
Description: tRNA-Val
Rfam family: tRNA
About the family: Transfer RNA (tRNA) molecules are approximately 80 nucleotides in length.
Source: RNAcentral